This 454-nucleotide ribosomal RNA is filed under the name uncultured bacterium. RNAcentral describes it as "bacterial SSU rRNA". It matches the Rfam family "Bacterial small subunit ribosomal RNA", at positions 343 to 794 of the family's 1533-position model. The record is from RNAcentral.
UGGAGGCAGCAGUGAGGAAUAUUGGUCAAUGGGGGCAACCCUGAACCAGCCAUGCCGCGUGAAGGAAGACGGCCCUAAGGGUUGUAAACUUCUUUUGUACGGGGGUAAUUGUAGAUACGUGUAUUUACUUGAAAGUACUGUACGAAUAAGCAUCGGCUAACUCCGUGCCAGCAGCCGCGGUAAUACGGAGGAUGCGAGCGUUAUCCGGAUUUAUUGGGUUUAAAGGGUGCGUAGGCGGGCUUGUAAGUCAGCGGUGAAAGACUGUCGCUCAACGAUAGCAUUGCCGUUGAUACUGUAGGCCUUGAGUACACUUGAGGUAGGCGGAAUGUGUAGUGUAGCGGUGAAAUGCUUAGAUAUUACACAGAACACCAAUUGCGAAGGCAGCUUACUAAAUUGUAACUGACGCUGAGGCACGAAAGCGUGGGGAUCAAACAGGAUUAGAUACCCUGGUAGC